RNAcentral lists this ribosomal RNA (228 nucleotides) under uncultured bacterium. RNAcentral's name for it is "partial 16S ribosomal RNA". It matches the Rfam family "Bacterial small subunit ribosomal RNA", at positions 103 to 334 of the family's 1533-position model. The record is from RNAcentral.
CGGGUGAGUAAUGCUUAGGAAUCUGCCCAGUAGUGGGGGACAACUCGAGGAAACUCGAGCUAAUACCGCAUACGCCCUAUGGGGGAAAGUGGAGGAUCUUCGGACUUCACGCUAUUGGAUGAGCCUAAGUCGGAUUAGCUUGUUGGUGAGGUAAAGGCUCACCAAGGCGACGAUCCGUAGCUGGUCUGAGAGGACGAUCAGCCACACUGGGACUGAGACACGGCCCAG